Helianthus annuus (common sunflower) is the source of this 401-nucleotide long non-coding RNA. RefSeq lists it as uncharacterized. The transcript has 2 exons. The record is from RefSeq and is a predicted model, not a curated record. Lineage: Eukaryota; Viridiplantae; Streptophyta; Magnoliopsida; Asterales; Asteraceae.
UUAUAUUUCAAUGCAGUAAACAUUUUUUGGAUUUUCAAUUCAACUACAUUUUUCUUACUGUUUCAUCUUAAGAUUUGAUUUCAUUUGAAGUAGGAGUGUAGUUAGGUAAUUAGCAUAGGAUUUGCAAAUUCAGGUAGUCAUGGAGUGGUUGAGGAAAUAAUUGUGACCGAUGUUCGAUUCCCACUCUCCUCGUUAUUUUCUGCGGCAUACGCGUGGCGCCGGUUCGACUUGGAUGGGAGGCGAGGUUUUACCGAUUAUUUCACUGUCGUGUCUUCGGGGGCCGGUGGAGGUCGGGUUUUUGCCUGGGGAGAGCCAAGGGGCUGCCGGCGGUCUAGUAGUCGACCUUGGUCACGGUGGUUGGCACGUCGUUCCUUGCUGUUCAAAAAAAAAAAAAAAAAAAA